ACACAUGCAGUCGAGCGGUAGCACAGAAGAGCUUGCUCUUUGGGUGACGAGCGGCGGACGGGUGAGUAAUGUCUGGGAAACUGCCUGAUGGAGGGGGAUAACUACUGGAAACGGUAGCUAAUACCGCAUAACCUCGCAAGAGCAAAGAGGGGGACCUUCGGGCCUCUCGCCAUCAGAUGUGCCCAGAUGGGAUUAGCUAGUAGGUGAGGUAAUGGCUCACCUAGGCGACGAUCCCUAGCUGGUCUGAGAGGAUGACCAGCCACACUGGAACUGAGACACGGUCCAGACUCCUACGGGAGGCAGCAGUGGGGAAUAUUGCACAAUGGGCGCAAGCCUGAUGCAGCCAUGCCGCGUGUGUGAAGAAGGCCUUCGGGUUGUAAAGCACUUUCAGCGAGGAGGAAGGCGGUAAGGUUAAUAACCUUAUCGAUUGACGUUACUCGCAGAAGAAGCACCGGCUAACUCCGUGCCAGCAGCCGCGGUAAUACGGAGGGUGCAAGCGUUAAUCGGAAUGACUGGGCGUAAAGCGCACGCAGGCGGUCUGUUAAGUUGGAUGUGAAAUCCCCGGGCUUAACCUGGGAACUGCAUUCAAAACUGACAGGCUAGAGUCUUGUAGAGGGGGGUAGAAUUCCAGGUGUAGCGGUGAAAUGCGUAGAGAUCUGGAGGAAUACCGGUGGCGAAGGCGGCCCCCUGGACAAAGACUGACGCUCAGGUGCGAAAGCGUGGGGAGCAAACAGGAUUAGAUACCCUGGUAGUCCACGCUGUAAACGAUGUCGAUUUGGAGGUUGUGCCCUUGAGGCGUGGCUUCCGGAGCUAACGCGUUAAAUCGACCGCCUGGGGAGUACGGCCGCAAGGUUAAAACUCAAUGAAUUGACGGGGGCCCGCACAAGGGGCGGGGGGAGCAUGUGGUUUUAAUUCGAAUGCAAGGCGAAAAACCUUACCCUACUUCCUUGACAUCCAGAGAACUUUUUCCAAAGAUGAGAUUGGUGCCCUUUCGGAACUUCUGAGACAGGUGGUUGCAUGCCGUUCGUCAGCUCGUGUUGUAAAAGUUGGGUUAAGUCCCGCAACGAGCGCAAACUUAUCCCUUGUUGGCAGCGAUUGUGUCGGGAACUCAAAGGAGACUGCCGGUGAUAAACCGGAGGAAGGUGGGGAUGACGUCAAGUCAUCAUGGCCCUUGCGAGUAGGGCUACACACGUGCUACAAUGGCGUAUACAAAGAGAAGCGACCUCGCGAGAGCAAGCGGACCUCAUAAAGUACGUCGUAGUCCGGAUUGGAGUCUGCAACUCGACUCCAUGAAGUCGGAAUCGCUAGUAAUCGUAGAUCAGAAUGGUACGGUGAAUACGUUCCCGGGCCUUGUACACACCGCCCGUCACACCAUGGGAGUGGGUUGCAAAAGAAGUAGGUAGCUUAACCUUCGGGAGGGCGCUACCA
Molecule: ribosomal RNA, 1428 nt
Filed under: Pectobacterium carotovorum subsp. carotovorum
Lineage: Bacteria; Pseudomonadati; Pseudomonadota; Gammaproteobacteria; Enterobacterales; Pectobacteriaceae
Description: bacterial SSU rRNA
Rfam family: Bacterial small subunit ribosomal RNA
Source: RNAcentral